GCGAAAAAAGCGGAGCGGUUAACGUGCUGGCCUGCUAGUCCUUUCGGGGAAAGUUAGCCAGUUCCUUCGGGAGCGUGAGUUCGAAUCUCACAGGUGUCGCA
RNAcentral lists this transfer RNA (101 nucleotides) under Pyrenochaeta sp. DS3sAY3a. RNAcentral describes it as "tRNA-Ser". The stretch from base 9 to 91 matches the Rfam family "tRNA", at positions 9 to 63 of the family's 71-position model. Rfam says of the family: Transfer RNA (tRNA) molecules are approximately 80 nucleotides in length. Their secondary structure includes four short double-helical elements and three loops (D, anti-codon, and T loops). The record is from RNAcentral. Lineage: Eukaryota; Fungi; Ascomycota; Dothideomycetes; Pleosporales; Cucurbitariaceae.